This is a long non-coding RNA of Armigeres subalbatus, 328 nucleotides long. RefSeq lists it as uncharacterized. The record is from RefSeq and is a predicted model, not a curated record. The transcript is spliced from 3 exons. NCBI's taxonomy places the organism in Eukaryota, Metazoa, Arthropoda, Insecta, Diptera, Culicidae.
GAAACUUUGAAUCCUUUAGUAGUAGGCGUUUUCUGCGGAGCAUCGAAACCAAAAGAUAUAAACGUUUUUCUAGCACCUUUUGUGUCCGAAUUAAAUGAUAUUCUUGAAAAAGGGCUUAUCAUAAACCAGCAAAUGGUACUCAUAAAACUACGGUGUUUUAUUUGCGAUACACCUGCUCGCGCGAUGCUUCGAGGUGUCAUAGGACAUAACGGCUACAAUUCGUGUUUGAAAUGUGUCACCGAAGGGGAGUACUCACAUGCUUUUAAAACCAUGAUUUUUCCAGAAACAGACGCUGCUUUAAGAAAUGAUUCGGAAUUUCGUUCCAGGA